CGCCUGAUCUUCGCCCGAUGCCUCCCCGCAGGGCAUCCACACGGCGAUCUACGGCCUCCGCAGCCUGAUCACAGGCUCCGGCCUCACCUCCAGUCUCCCAGCCUCUAUCUCCUCCUCCGACGACGGCGGUUGGCACGGAGCAACUCGACCUACUGGUGCAGCAGGUCAGAGGCCUAACUGAGGCUGUGCAGGCCAUGCAACAGCAGCAGCCGCCGCAGGCAUCGG
RNAcentral lists this long non-coding RNA (225 nucleotides) under Elaeis guineensis (African oil palm). RNAcentral's name for it is "long non-coding RNA (EGUI_LNC057875)". The record is from RNAcentral. Lineage: Eukaryota; Viridiplantae; Streptophyta; Magnoliopsida; Arecales; Arecaceae.